This 55-nucleotide microRNA precursor is filed under the name Heliconius melpomene (postman butterfly). RNAcentral describes it as "Hme-Mir-2765_pre stem-loop". The record is from RNAcentral. Lineage: Eukaryota; Metazoa; Arthropoda; Insecta; Lepidoptera; Nymphalidae.
UGGUAACUCCACCACCGUUGGCGUCGCUACCGCCAACGGGGGCCGAGUUCCUGCU